RNAcentral lists this long non-coding RNA (173 nucleotides) under Numida meleagris (helmeted guineafowl). Its description in RNAcentral is "lncRNA (ENSNMEG00000010707.1)". The record is from RNAcentral. Lineage: Eukaryota; Metazoa; Chordata; Aves; Galliformes; Numididae.
GAUCCAUCCUACAGGAAGAAGGGGCAAUGGAGGCACCCAUUGCGCUAGCUGUCUGAGAGACCAUGAUCAUAAUAUGAGUGCUAUCUAGAAGAAGGUUUCCCCAGAAAAGAUGAGUCUUCUGGUGCUAUAAGGCGGUAAUUAAAAGGAAUCCAGUCAGGAGCUUAUUACCUCUG